Molecule: ribosomal RNA, 789 nt
Filed under: uncultured bacterium
Lineage: Bacteria
Description: bacterial SSU rRNA
Rfam family: Bacterial small subunit ribosomal RNA
Source: RNAcentral
AGAGUUUGAUCAUGGCUCAGAUUGAACGCUGGCGGCAUGCCUUACACAUGCAAGUCGAACGGUAACGCGGGGCAACCUGGCGACGAGUGGCGAACGGGUGAGUAAUGUAUCGGAACGUGCCCAGUAGUGGGGGAUAGCCCGGCGAAAGCCGGAUUAAUACCGCAUACGACCUACGGGUGAAAGGGGGGGAUCGCAAGACCUCUCGCUAUUGGAGCGGCCGAUAUCAGAUUAGGUAGUUGGUGGGGUAAAGGCCUACCAAGCCGACGAUCUGUAGCUGGUCUGAGAGGACGACCAGCCACACUGGGACUGAGACACGGCCCAGACUCCUACGGGAGGCAGCAGUGGGGAAUUUUGGACAAUGGGCGCAAGCCUGAUCCAGCCAUGCCGCGUGCGGGAAGAAGGCCUUCGGGUUGUAAACCGCUUUUGUCAGGGAAGAAAUCCUUUGGGCUAAUACCCCGGAGGGAUGACGGUACCUGAAGAAUAAGCACCGGCUAACUACGUGCCAGCAGCCGCGGUAAUACGUAGGGUGCAAGCGUUAAUCGGAAUUACUGGGCGUAAAGCGUGCGCAGGCGGUUGUGUAAGACAGAUGUGAAAUCCCCGGGCUCAACCUGGGAACUGCAUUUGUGACUGCACAGCUGGAGUGCGGCAGAGGGGGAUGGAAUUCCGCGUAGCAGUGAAAUGCGUAGAUAUGCGGAGGAACACCGAUGGCGAAGGCAAUCCCCUGGGCCUGCACUGACGCUCAUGCACGAAAGCGUGGGGAGCAAACAGGAUUAGAUACCCUAGUAGUCC